AUUGAACGCUGGCGGCAUGCCUAACACAUGCAAGUCGAACGGUAACAGGGCCCUUCGGGGCGCUGACGAGUGGCGGACGGGUGAGUAAUGCUUAGGAAUCUGCCUAGUAGUGGGGGAUAACCCGGGGAAACUCGGGCUAAUACCGCAUACGUCCUACGGGAGAAAGCGGGGGACCUUCGGGCCUCGCGCUAUUAGAUGAGCCUAAGUCCGAUUAGCUAGUUGGUAGGGUAACGGCCUACCAAGGCGACGACGGUAGCUGGUCUGAGAGGACGACCAGCCACACUGGGACUGAGACACGGCCCAGACUCCUACGGGAGGCAGCAGUGGGGAAGUAUUGGACAAUGGGCGCAAGCCUGAUCCAGCGAUGCCGCGUGUGUGAAGAAGG
This 385-nucleotide ribosomal RNA is filed under the name uncultured bacterium. RNAcentral's name for it is "bacterial SSU rRNA". It matches the Rfam family "Bacterial small subunit ribosomal RNA", at positions 29 to 414 of the family's 1533-position model. The record is from RNAcentral.